Dipodomys spectabilis (banner-tailed kangaroo rat) is the source of this 225-nucleotide long non-coding RNA. RefSeq lists it as uncharacterized. The record is from RefSeq and is a predicted model, not a curated record. NCBI's taxonomy places the organism in Eukaryota, Metazoa, Chordata, Mammalia, Rodentia, Heteromyidae. The transcript has 3 exons.
CUGUAAUCCCAGCAUUCCAGAAGCUGAGGCAGAAAAAUCGUGAAUUACAAGCUAGCAAGAAACUAACUCAAAACCAAAAAGGACCCCAGGUCUUAAUCCUGAAGUUGGGAGUGGUGAGAAUGAAGUCAGAGCCACAGGUGAGAUCAUGCUGAAGUGCUCCCACCUGUUCUAGAAGGUGCUGAUUACAGCUCUUGAGGUGCUGAUUCUCCAUCUCCAGCUGGACAA